GGCUUCGUGGCGAAAUCGGUAGACGCAUGAGACUUAAGAUCUCACGCCUGAGGGCAUACGGGUUCGACCCCCGUCGAAGUCA
This is a non-coding RNA of Microbotryomycetes sp. JL221, 82 nucleotides long. The record is from the annotation of a GenBank genome assembly. Lineage: Eukaryota; Fungi; Basidiomycota; Microbotryomycetes.